UCAAGUGAUGAGAUUUGAUC
RNAcentral lists this small nuclear RNA (20 nucleotides) under Arabidopsis thaliana (thale cress). Its description in RNAcentral is "snRNA_07622". Lineage: Eukaryota; Viridiplantae; Streptophyta; Magnoliopsida; Brassicales; Brassicaceae. The record is from RNAcentral.